UAAAAGCUUGCUUUUAAAGGUUAGCGGCGGACGGGUGAGUAACACGUGGGCAACCUACCUGUAAGACUGGGAUAACUUCGGGAAACCGGAGCUAAUACCGGAUAAUUCUUUUCUACACAUGUAGAAAAGCUGAAAGACGGUUUCGGCUGUCACUUACAGAUGGGCCCGCGGCGCAUUAGCUAGUUGGUGAGGUAAUGGCUCACCAAGGCAACGAUGCGUAGCCGACCUGAGAGGGUGAUCGGCCACACCGGGACUGAGACACGGCCCAGACUCCUACGGGAGGCAGCAGUGGGACUCCUACGGGAGGCAGCAGUGGGACUCCUAGGGGAGGCAGCAGUGGGGCAGUUGGCUCAGAACGAACGCUGGCGGCUCUCAUUGUUGAGGAUAAGCACUCCUACUGUCCUCAGCAGUG
This 412-nucleotide small RNA is filed under the name uncultured bacterium. RNAcentral describes it as "bacterial SSU rRNA". The stretch from base 1 to 293 matches the Rfam family "Bacterial small subunit ribosomal RNA", at positions 73 to 358 of the family's 1533-position model. The record is from RNAcentral.